AUCCUACGGGGGGCAGCAGUGGGGAAUAUUGGGCAAUGGGCGCAAGCCUGACCCAGCAACGCCGCGUGAAGGAAGAAGGCUUUCGGGUUGUAAACUUCUUUUGUCAGGGACGAAGCAAGUGACGGUACCUGACGAAUAAGCCACGGCUAACUACGUGCCAGCAGCCGCGGUAAUACGUAGGUGGCAAGCGUUAUCCGGAUUUACUGGGUGUAAAGGGCGUGUAGGCGGGACUGCAAGUCAGAUGUGAAAACCACGGGCUCAACCCGUGGCCUGCAUUGGGAACUACCGGGCUGGAGUGCCGGAGG
This 305-nucleotide ribosomal RNA is filed under the name uncultured bacterium. RNAcentral's name for it is "bacterial SSU rRNA". It matches the Rfam family "Bacterial small subunit ribosomal RNA", at positions 335 to 655 of the family's 1533-position model. The record is from RNAcentral.